RNAcentral lists this ribosomal RNA (253 nucleotides) under uncultured bacterium. Its description in RNAcentral is "partial 16S ribosomal RNA". It matches the Rfam family "Bacterial small subunit ribosomal RNA", at positions 524 to 776 of the family's 1533-position model. The record is from RNAcentral.
GACGAAGGGGGCUAGCGUUGUUCGGAAUUACUGGGCGUAAGGCGAGUGUAGGUGGUUGUCCAAGUUGGAUGUGAAAGCCUUGAGCUCAACUCAAGAAAUGCAUUCAGGACUGGGCGGCUAGAGGACCGGAGAGGAUAGUGGAAUUCCCAGUGUAGUGGUGAAAUACGUAGAGAUUGGGAAGAACACCAGUGGCGAAGGCGGCUAUCUGGACGGUUUCUGACACUAAGACUCGAAAGCGUGGGGAGCAAACAGG